Molecule: long non-coding RNA, 898 nt
Filed under: Mus caroli (Ryukyu mouse)
Lineage: Eukaryota; Metazoa; Chordata; Mammalia; Rodentia; Muridae
Description: SRY (sex determining region Y)-box 5, opposite strand 3 (MGP_CAROLIEiJ_G0003961.1)
Source: RNAcentral
GCAAGCAGAGGUUCAGAGUGUCUUCCCCAGAGCCCAUGUUAAGAAGACAAGAGGCGUGUGUGAUGUUGUGUGUUGUGAAGCCAGCACAGGGAUGGCAGACAGUUGGCUGGUCAGGGGCUUCUGCAGGGAGAGGCGAUUGUUGCCAAACUGGACAACACAAAUUCACUUCUAUGUGAUAGAGGGAGGUGACUGACAUGUGCAAACUUCCUCUAACUCUUUCUGUCUCUAAGUACAGUGUGCAGUUUGCAUGUGCUUCUCUUGAAUUCUCUUCAAGCAAGGAACUGUGGCACCACAGCCUACUGAGUGAGAUCACAAAGGCAGAGAGAGAGACUUUCUGUUGAUCUUAACAGCAGUAGCCUGUCAAGCCAUCCCAAUGAGAUGAAUUUGAACUCUGAUGCUGUCAGUCACUCAUUGCUAACUCACUCCAACCUGGCAAGCUCUUCAAAUGUAACCGUCAUCUUUCAGCAAGGGGCUCACCCAGUAAGUGGGGAUGUAUCACAGCCAAAGGCACAGUGCCCUGGCAAGAUCCUCGAAGUUUCCAUUUCUACUGUCAAUCUAAUCCUUGUCACCAGAUUUCUUUGGCUUUAAUGUCAUGGCUUUCAGUAUCAUUGACCCAAAAGCUUGCUAAUAUCUAAAAUCAGCGUAUCGAAUGUAUCCAUCUCAUCAUCCAGAAAUGUUUAAACAAAUGAGAGGGGUGUGUGACUUGAAGAUAGCUGGUACGAAAGCAGAAGUGGGGACGAUCUGAGGGAUGAGAGGAAGUGGGCAGAGGAGACAUGGGAGGGCUGUGACUCAUGUAUAUGCAAAUGCCAUCAUGAAACCCAUUGUGUGUAUGCUGACUAAAAGACCAACUUACAGCAUGUUUUAAUAUGAAAAAUAAAGGGAAUGGGGGUUGAAAGAC